This 266-nucleotide unclassified non-coding RNA is filed under the name fungal sp. RNAcentral's name for it is "partial internal transcribed spacer region". The stretch from base 1 to 46 matches the Rfam family "Eukaryotic small subunit ribosomal RNA", at positions 1786 to 1831 of the family's 1831-position model. Lineage: Eukaryota; Fungi. The record is from RNAcentral.
AAGUCGUAACAAGGUUUCCGUAGGUGAACCUGCGGAAGGAUCAUUAACACUUUUUUCGGUGCUUUUGAAAAUUGGAAUCAAAUUCAAUUUUCGAGCCCAAUCCAAAACUUACCCAAACUUUUUUUAAAGUGCUGGUGUUUUGCGAUCAAAAGCAAAACCUCUUUUUUUUCUAUUUAUCAAUUCAAAAACCCCAAAUCUUUCUUUGCAAAUGCAAUUGAACAAAAUUUAAACCCAAACAACUCUUAGCAACGGAUAUCUUGGCUCUC